Molecule: ribosomal RNA, 393 nt
Filed under: uncultured bacterium
Lineage: Bacteria
Description: partial 16S ribosomal RNA
Rfam family: Bacterial small subunit ribosomal RNA
Source: RNAcentral
AUACGGAAGGUCCGGGCGUUAUCCGGAUUUAUUGGGUUUAAAGGGAGCGCAGGCGGGCCUUUAAGCGUGACGUGAAAUGUAGCCGCUCAACGGCUGAACUGCGUCGCGAACUGGAGGUCUUGAGUGGGUGCGACGUCAGCGGAAUUCGUGGUGUAGCGGUGAAAUGCUUAGAUAUCACGAAGAACCCCGAUUGCGAAGGCAGCUGGCGAGUCCCUUACUGACGCUAAAGCUCGAAGGUGCGGGUAUCGAACAGGAUUAGAUACCCUGGUAGUCCGCACGGUAAACGAUGGAUGCCCGCUGUGUGCGAUACAUUGUACGCGGCCAAGCGAAAGCGUUAAGCAUCCCACCUGGGGAGUACGCCGGCAACGGUGAAACUCAAAUGAAUUGGCGGGG